AUACGGAGGGUGCAAGCGUUAAUCGGAAUUACUGGGCGUAAAGGGCGCGUAGGUGGAUUUGCAAGUUGGCUGUGAAAGCCCCUGGCUUAACCUGGGAAUGCCAGUCAAAACUGCAAGUCUAGAGUACAGUAGAGGGAAGUGGAAUUUCCGGUGUAGCGGUGAAAUGCGUAGAUAUCGGAAGUAACAUCAGUGGCGAAGGCGGCUUCCUGGACUGAUACUGACACUGAGGCGCGAAAGCGUGGGUAGCAAACAGGAUUAGAUACCCGAGUAGUCC
This 274-nucleotide ribosomal RNA is filed under the name uncultured bacterium. RNAcentral describes it as "partial 16S ribosomal RNA". It matches the Rfam family "Bacterial small subunit ribosomal RNA", at positions 523 to 796 of the family's 1533-position model. The record is from RNAcentral.